Molecule: long non-coding RNA, 561 nt
Filed under: Trifolium pratense (red clover)
Lineage: Eukaryota; Viridiplantae; Streptophyta; Magnoliopsida; Fabales; Fabaceae
Description: long non-coding RNA (TPRA_LNC010089)
Source: RNAcentral
GAAAAAGUUACAUAAAAUCGAUUAAUAUCUGAAAAAGUUACAUAAAAUCGAUUAAUGAAUAUCCGAAAAUCUGAUCCGUUUAUAAAUUAAACGAUUGGAUAUGGAUCGACCUCUAAAAUAUCUGAGAUGUGAUCCGAGCUAAUCCAAAUUUGAUAAAUUAAAUGAAUUCGGAUAUGUAUUUAGGCUGAUCCGAUCCAUUGACAUAACUAGACUCAUGUAUAGAGACCGACAAAAGAUUAUUUUAAUUAAUGCAAUAAACAUAAUAUUCAAAUGCGUAUUUUUAAGUUGCAGCUUUUACCUUCAUCAUACAGUCUGAGAUAGAACUCAUGGACUCUGAAGCCUUGUGCAGUGUCUACUUCACCGCGACCCACUACUCUAUAUAGUCCAAGAUAUUCAUACGUCAUCUGAUUGUUUCCAACAAUGUUUUCACCUCCAUGUCUGAUUGUUUCCAACAAUGUUUUCACCUCCAUGUGCAUCGGUAUAGGUGACUACUCCUAGAGGAGUCUGUUCUAACAUACAAUUUCGCAUACGCCGGUUGCCUGUACAUACAAACAUAGAUUU